UACCAAAAGUGUUGAUUUAAUGACAUAAAUUUAUGUAAUCUUAUAUGAGACAUAUAAUCAUUUUGAUGGAAAUUGAAGGUGGGUGCAUCUUGACAUUCCGAACAUGUUUGUCUGGUCAGAUUGAUACAUCUUAUCCCUGUGUUCUUGUCUUUAUGUUCAAUUUGGGUCAAUUGACAAGAAAAGAAAUAGCUACAUUAAGGAUUAUUAACCUCAGAGGAGAUGUUGUAAAAAUUUACAAUGUGAGAUGGACAUAUCAUUUGAACUAUGGUGGUAAGUUGUCUCAUUGGCAAUCAUACCAUAUCUCCUUAUCUUUAUACAAUAUUUUUUUUAUCAACCUAUUUUAAGUGAUGACCAAGACUGAGUGUUUGAUAAAAAGGCAAAAUAAAAAAAAUACGGAACUCCGAGGAAAAUUCAAAACAGAAAGUCUGUAAUUAAAUGACAAAAUCAAAAUUAAGCUCAAACACACCAAACGAAUGAAUAACAACUGUCAUAUUCCUUACAUUUUGGAAUAGGCAUUUUCUGAUGUAGAAAAAGGAGGAUUGAACCUGGUUUUAAAGCUAGCUAAGCUUCUCACUUGUAUGACAUUUGCAUAAAAGAGGGACGAAAGAUACCAGAGGGACAGUCAAACUCAUAGAUUGAAAAUAAACUGACAACACCAUGGCUAAAAAUAAAAAGACAAACAAACAAAUAAUAGUACAGAAAACACAACAUAGAAAACUAAAGAUUAAGCAACACGAACACCACCAAAAACUGGGGGUGAUCU
Molecule: long non-coding RNA, 763 nt
Filed under: Mytilus galloprovincialis (Mediterranean mussel)
Lineage: Eukaryota; Metazoa; Mollusca; Bivalvia; Mytilida; Mytilidae
Source: RNAcentral